Molecule: small RNA, 125 nt
Filed under: Marmota monax (woodchuck)
Lineage: Eukaryota; Metazoa; Chordata; Mammalia; Rodentia; Sciuridae
Source: RNAcentral
GCCGGGUGCAGUGGCACAUGUCUGUAAUCCCAGUGGCUCAGGAGGCUGAGGCAGGAGAAUCACUAGUUCAAAGCCAGCCUCAGCAAAAGUGAGGCACUAAGCAACUCAGUGAGACCCUGUCUCUA